AGGCUCAGGACGAACGCUGGCGGCGUGCCUAAUACAUGCAAGUCGAACGAACUCUGGUAUUGAUUGGUGCUUGCAUCAUGAUUUACAUUUGAGUGAGUGGCGAACUGGUGAGUAACACGUGGGAAACCUGCCCAGAAGCGGGGGAUAACACCUGGAAACAGAUGCUAAUACCGCAUAACAACUUGGACCGCAUGGUCCGAGCUUGAAAGAUGGCUUCGGCUAUCACUUUUGGAUGGUCCCGCGGCGUAUUAGCUAGAUGGUGGGGUAACGGCUCACCAUGGCAAUGAUACGUAGCCGACCUGAGAGGGUAAUCGGCCACAUUGGGACUGAGACACGGCCCAAACUCCUACGGGAGGCAGCAGUAGGGAAUCUUCCACAAUGGACGAAAGUCUGAUGGAGCAACGCCGCGUGAGUGAAGAAGGGUUUCGGCUCGUAAAACUCUGUUGUUAAAGAAGAACAUAUCUGAGAGUAACUGUUCAGGUAUUGACGGUAUUUAACCAGAAAGCCACGGCUAACUACGUGCCAGCAGCCGCGGUAAUACGUAGGUGGCAAGCGUUGUCCGGAUUUAUUGGGCGUAAAGCGAGCGCAGGCGGUUUUUUAAGUCUGAUGUGAAAGCCUUCGGCUCAACCGAAGAAGUGCAUCGGAAACUGGGAAACUUGAGUGCAGAAGAGGACAGUGGAACUCCAUGUGUAGCGGUGAAAUGCGUAGAUAUAUGGAAGAACACCAGUGGCGAAGGCGGCUGUCUGGUCUGUAACUGACGCUGAGGCUCGAAAGUAUGGGUAGCAAACAGGAUUAGAUACCCUGGUAGUCCAUACCGUAAACGAUGAAUGCUAAGUGUUGGAGGGUUUCCGCCCUUCAGUGCUGCAGCUAACGCAUUAAGCAUUCCGCCUGGGGAGUACGGCCGCAAGGCUGAAACUCAAAGGAAUUGACGGGGGCCCGCACAAGCGGUGGAGCAUGUGGUUUAAUUCGAAGCUACGCGAAGAACCUUACCAGGUCUUGACAUACUAUGCAAAUCUAAGAGAUUAGACGUUCCCUUCGGGGACAUGGAUACAGGUGGUGCAUGGUUGUCGUCAGCUCGUGUCGUGAGAUGUUGGGUUAAGUCCCGCAACGAGCGCAACCCUUAUUAUCAGUUGCCAGCAUUAAGUUGGGCACUCUGGUGAGACUGCCGGUGACAAACCGGAGGAAGGUGGGGAUGACGUCAAAUCAUCAUGCCCCUUAUGACCUGGGCUACACACGUGCUACAAUGGAUGGUACAACGAGUUGCGAACUCGCGAGAGUAAGCUAAUCUCUUAAAGCCAUUCUCAGUUCGGAUUGUAGGCUGCAACUCGCCUACAUGAAGUCGGAAUCGCUAGUAAUCGCGGAUCAGCAUGCCGCGGUGAAUACGUUCCCGGGCCUUGUACACACCGCCCGUCACACCAUGAGAGUUUGUAACACCCAAAGUCGGUGGGGUAACCUUUUAGGAACCAGCCGCCUAAGGUGGGACAGAUGAUUAGGGA
RNAcentral lists this ribosomal RNA (1496 nucleotides) under Lactiplantibacillus plantarum. RNAcentral describes it as "partial 16S ribosomal RNA". It matches the Rfam family "Bacterial small subunit ribosomal RNA". The record is from RNAcentral. Lineage: Bacteria; Bacillati; Bacillota; Bacilli; Lactobacillales; Lactobacillaceae.